This 404-nucleotide ribosomal RNA is filed under the name uncultured bacterium. Its description in RNAcentral is "bacterial SSU rRNA". It matches the Rfam family "Bacterial small subunit ribosomal RNA", at positions 355 to 775 of the family's 1533-position model. The record is from RNAcentral.
UGAGGAAUAUUGCACAAUGGGCGCAGGCCUGAUGCGGCAACGCCGCGUGCGGGACGAAGGCCUUCGGGUCGUAAACCGCUUUUCUGGGGAAAGAGCAAGGACGGUACCUCAGGAAUAAGUCUCGGCUAACUACGUGCCAGCAGCCGCGGUAAAACGUAGGAGGCGAGCGUUAUCCGGAUUUACUGGGCGUAAAGCGCACGCAGGCGGCUCUGUGAGUCGGACGUGAAAGCUCCCGGCUUAACCGGGAGAGGCCGUUCGAUACUGCGGGGCUUGAGGUAGGGAGAGGAAUGCGGAAUUCCCGGUGUAGUGGUGGAAUGCGUAGAUAUCGGGAGGAACGCCUGUGGCGAAAGCGGCAUUCUGGCCCUCACCUGACGCUGAGGUGCGAAAGCGUGGGUAGCAAACAG